RNAcentral lists this non-coding RNA (21 nucleotides) under Caenorhabditis elegans. Lineage: Eukaryota; Metazoa; Nematoda; Chromadorea; Rhabditida; Rhabditidae. The record is from RNAcentral.
UUAACAAUUAGGAUAAAAACU